UUUCAUAUUAGGAAAUGGUUGGAGGGUUCACAAAAUUAAUAGGUACAGUGACAUUUUUCUGUUUUUACACAGGAAGUUUUAACAUGAGAACAGUGAGAAACUUCUUCCACUGAGGCUUUCCUGCUUGAAGGAGGGACACAACAAUUUGAUGCUGGUUUGCAACAUUAAACAAAAAGUUUGCUUUUGCCCUUUGUUGAUAAAUGGAUCAAAAGAGGAAUACAAAGUUAUUUAAAAUUGCAGAUGGAGAGAAACCUCCCCAGGGAAAACGUGUUCUGCCAGCAUCUUCUGCAAAAAGAGCUAUCACACUACAAAAAAGGACCUUCCAAAUGAAGGCAAGCAAUGAAGGAGGAAUUAAACUGUCCACCAAGUAGAACAUAUUUGCUGAUCUGUGAGUCCAAGAACGUUGCCUUUACCUCCUGAAGAGCAUAUGGAAAGAAGCCUUAAUUCAUUCCCAGUCUUUAACUGUUGGUGGUAUCAUUGUUUUUCUUUCUGCAUCAUCUGUUUCAAAUCAUCUAUAACCUUAGGUUUUCUAGGAGGUCAAACAGAAACAGACCUUCACUUCUAAGAUGUAAACAUCUACAGUUUGGUCUUUACCACCCAAACCAACUGUAGCUUUGUUUUUAACUUGGAAAAACUACCUUUGAUAGAAAGCUGCCAACUGCUUUUCUAGUAUCAGAGGUUAUAUGGGUUAUGGCUCAGUGGAAACUUGAAAUAAUGAUAUUUCAGUUUUUUAUUCUUUUGCUAGGCCUAUUAGAUGAUCACAUUUUGUUAAUUUAGGCUAAGGUCAGAACUGGAAUAUGAAGCAACGAAUACAAACACCAAACCUCAGAAUUGAUUCUGUAUUUCCAAUCUAAAUGGUCUAAAGACUGAUAGUUUUUCAGCUUUUGCUAGUCAUUCUUCCACACCAAAUGAAGAAAAUAGAUUUGCCAUCUUCUAACUUCUAGACACAGCUGAAAGAAAUGAGAAAAAGCAAAUGUGUGGCAGCUAAGGACCAUUUUUCUCCAUUUGUUUUCAUGGGUCAAAACCAUGAGUACUCUGCAAUUUACAGCUGAAUCAAGAGGAGAAAUCACAGGGAAGACACAUUCUGCUCUAAGUUGCAUCAAGAGCUGAAUAAGAAUUUAAACCAGUUCUCAAAAUAAGCACAGAGCUAAAAUCAGCAUAGUUUUGGCAUGAAAAAUAAAAGGGUAUUUCUUUGCUGCA
RNAcentral lists this long non-coding RNA (1200 nucleotides) under Parus major (Great Tit). RNAcentral describes it as "lncRNA (ENSPMJG00000009803.1)". The record is from RNAcentral. Lineage: Eukaryota; Metazoa; Chordata; Aves; Passeriformes; Paridae.